UCCAAAUUUCCGGAUGUGUGG
This 21-nucleotide non-coding RNA is filed under the name Arabidopsis thaliana (thale cress). Lineage: Eukaryota; Viridiplantae; Streptophyta; Magnoliopsida; Brassicales; Brassicaceae. The record is from RNAcentral.